UACGGAGGAUCCGAGCGCUAUCCGGAUUUAUUGGGUUUAAAGGGAGCGUAGGUGGAUUGUUAAGUCAGUUGUGAAAGUUUGCGGCUCAACCGUAAAAUUGCAGUUGAAACUGGCAGUCUUGAGUACAGUAGAGGUGGGCGGAAUUCGUGGUGUGGCGGUGAAAUGCUUAGAUAUCACGAAGAACUCCGAUUGCGAAGGCAGCUCACUGGACUGCAACUGACACUGAGGCUCGAAAGUGUGGGUAUCAAACAGG
Molecule: ribosomal RNA, 253 nt
Filed under: uncultured bacterium
Lineage: Bacteria
Description: partial 16S ribosomal RNA
Rfam family: Bacterial small subunit ribosomal RNA
Source: RNAcentral